GUGCUCAGUUCAGCAGCACAUACACUAAAACUGGAACGAUACAGAGAAGAUUAGCAUGGCACCUGUGCAAGGAUGACAUGCAAAUUUAUGAAGUGUUUCCUAUUUAA
Sciurus carolinensis (gray squirrel) is the source of this 107-nucleotide small nuclear RNA. Lineage: Eukaryota; Metazoa; Chordata; Mammalia; Rodentia; Sciuridae. The record is from RefSeq and is a predicted model, not a curated record.